CCUACGGGAGACUGCAGUGGGGGAUAUUGCACAAUGGGGGGAACCCUGAUGCAGCGACGCCGCGUGGGUGAAGAAGCGCCUCGGCGCGUAAAGCCCUGUCAGCAGGGAAGAAAAUGACGGUACCUGAAGAAGAAGCCCCGGCUAACUACGUGCCAGCAGCCGCGGUAAUACGUAGGGGGCAAGCGUUAUCCGGAUUUACUGGGUGUAAAGGGGGCGCAGACGGCGAUGCAAGCCAGGAGUGAAAGCCCGGGGCCCAACCCCGGGACUGCUCUUGGAACUGCGUGGCUAGAGUGCAGGAGGGGCAGGCGGAAUUCCUGGUGUAGCGGUGAAAUGCGUAGAUAUCAGGAGGAACACCAGUGGCGAAGGCGGCCUGCUGGACUGCAACUGACGUUGAGGCCCGAAAGCGUGGGGAGCAAACAGGAUUAGAUACCCCAGUAGUC
This 440-nucleotide ribosomal RNA is filed under the name uncultured bacterium. RNAcentral describes it as "partial 16S ribosomal RNA". It matches the Rfam family "Bacterial small subunit ribosomal RNA", at positions 338 to 795 of the family's 1533-position model. The record is from RNAcentral.